CCUACGGGGGGCAGCAGUAGGGAAUAUUGCUCAAUGGGGGAAACCCUGAAGCAGCAACGCCGCGUGGAGGAUGAAGGUUUUAGGAUUGUAAACUCCUUUUGUUAGAGAAGAUUAUGACGGUAGCUAACGAAUAAGCACCGGCUAACCCCGUGCCAGCAGCCGCGGUAAUACGGAGGGUGCAAGCGUUACUCGGAAUCACUGGUCGUAAAGAGUGCGUAGGCGGGGUAAUAAGUCAGAUGUGAAAUCCUGUAGCUUAACUACAGAACUGCAUGUGAAACUGUUACUCUGGAGUGUGGGCGAGGUAGGUUGAUUUCUUGGUGUAGCGGUAAAAUCCGUCGAGAUCCAGACGCAUACUCCUUGCGACGUCGCCCUCCUGGCACAUUCCUGCCGCUGCUCC
RNAcentral lists this ribosomal RNA (397 nucleotides) under uncultured bacterium. RNAcentral describes it as "partial 16S ribosomal RNA". It matches the Rfam family "Bacterial small subunit ribosomal RNA", at positions 338 to 752 of the family's 1533-position model. The record is from RNAcentral.